GUAGAAUGGUCCGGCGAGUUAUUGUAUGCAGCGAGGUUAAGUAGUUCAGCUACGGAGCCGAAGUGAGAGCGAGUGUUAACAGCACGUUCAGUUGCAUGCAAUAGACCCGAAACCGGGUGACCUAUCCAUGUCCAGGAUGAAGUGAGGGUAAAACCUCAUGGAGGUCCGAACCCACUCCCGUUGAAAUGGUAGGGGAUGAGGUGUGGAUAGCGGAGAAAUUCCAAUCGAACCCGGAUAUAGCUGGUUCUCCCCGAAAUAGUUUUAGGACUAGCCUCGUGAUCAAGAUUAUCGGAGGUAAAGCACUGAAUGGCCUAGGGGUCGAGAGAUUACCGAAGCCUAUCAAACUCUGAAUGCCGAAUAAUCAUGCACGGGAGUCAGACUGUGUGAGAUAAGUUUCAUAGUCGAAAGGGAAACAGCCCAGACCUACAGCUAAGGUCCCAAAGUACGUUUAAGUGGAAAACGAUGUGAAAUUGCGUAGACAACCAGGAUGUUGGCUUAGAAGCAGCCAUACAUUAAAAGAGUGCGUAAUAGCUCACUGGUCGAGUGACUUUGCGCGGAAAAUUUAACGGGGCUAAAACGUACACCGAAGCUUAGGCUUGUCACAAUGUGACAGGGGUAGGGGAGCGUUGAAUGAGGGGUGAAGUCGUAGCGAAAGCGACGGUGGACUUCAUUCAAGUGAGAAUGCCGGAAUGAGUAGCGAGAAUUAUGUGAGAAUCAUAAUGGCCGAAAGCCUAAGGUUUUUGGAGGAAGGUUCGUCCGCUCCAAGUAAGUCGGAAGCUAAGGUGAGGCUGAAAAGCGUAGCCGAUGCACAAACGGUUGAAAUUCCGUUACCACAGAAAGAUUUAAACUAAGGGACACUUUUGAAGAGCUGAUGCCGGGUGUUGGUUACCCCGGUCGUAAGGGAACGAAAUUAAGUAGUGAAGUCAGCGUGGAUGAAGGCGAGAAAAGCUUAGUGUAUAUCUUAUGUGUCCGUACCGCAAACCGACACAGGUAGGUAGGAAGAGAAUUCUAAGGCCAACGGGAGAAGGGUAGUUAAGGAACUCGGCAAAAUGUCCCCGUAACUUCGGAAUAAGGGGAGGUUUCUACGGAAACCCGCAGAGAAUAGUCCCAGGCAACUGUUUAUCAAAAACACAGCUCUAUGCUAAAUCGAAAGAUGACGUAUAUGGGGUGACGCCUGCCCGGUGCCGGAAGGUUAAGAGGAGGAGUGAGAGCCCUGAAUCGAAGCCCCGGUAAACGGCGGCCGUAACUAUAACGGUCCUAAGGUAGCGAAAUUCCUUGUCAGGUAAGUUCUGACCCGCACGAAUGGCGUAAUGAUCUGGGAGCUGUCUCAACUGCCCGCCCGGCGAAAUUGUAGUACCGGUGAAGAUGCCGGUUACCCGCGACUAGACGGGAAGACCCCAUGGAGCUUUACUGUAGCUUAAUAUUGGAUUUCGGCAUUUCAUGUACAGGAUAGGUGGGAGACUAGGAAACAUAGGCGUCAGCUUAUGUGGAGUCGUCCUUGGGAUACCACUCUUGGAGUGCUGAAAUUCUAACCUGCAGCCCUGAAUCGGGUUGGGGGACAUUGUUAGGUGGGCAGUUUGACUGGGGCGGUCGC
Molecule: ribosomal RNA, 1594 nt
Filed under: human gut metagenome
Description: bacterial LSU rRNA
Rfam family: Bacterial large subunit ribosomal RNA
Source: RNAcentral